Molecule: ribosomal RNA, 253 nt
Filed under: uncultured bacterium
Lineage: Bacteria
Description: partial 16S ribosomal RNA
Rfam family: Bacterial small subunit ribosomal RNA
Source: RNAcentral
UACGUAGGUGGCGAGCAUUAUUCGGAAUUACUGGGCGUAAAGGGUCCGCAGGGGGUUUUUCAAGUCAGAUGUGAAAUUUCAGGGCUUAACUCUGAACGUGCAUUUGAAACUGGAAGACUAGAGUAUGUGAGAGGUAAGCGGAAUUUGUUGUGUAGCGGUGGAAUGCGUAGAUAUCACAAGGAAGGCCAAAGGCGAAAGCAGCUUACUGGCACAAUACUGACCCUCAGGGACGAAGGCUAAGGUAGCGAAAAGG